UGGGGAAUUUUGGACAAUGGGCGAAAGCCUGAUCCAGCAAUGCCGCGUGUGUGAAGAAGGCCUUCGGGUUGUAAAGCACUUUUGUCCGGAAAGAAAUGGCUCUGGUUAAUACCUGGGGUCGAUGACGGUACCGGAAGAAUAAGGACCGGCUAACUACGUGCCAGCAGCCGCGGUAAUACGUAGGGUCCAAGCGUUAAUCGGAAUUACUGGGCGUAAAGCGUGCGCAGGCGGUUGUGCAAGACCGAUGUGAAAUCCCCGAGCUUAACUUGGGAAUUGCAUUGGUGACUGCACGGCUAGAGUGUGUCAGAGGGGGGUUAGAAUUCCACGUGUAGCAGUGAAAUGCGUAGAGAUGUGGAGGAAUACCGAUGGCGAAGGCAGCCCCCUGGGAUAACACUGACGCUCAUGCACGAAAGCGUGGGGAGCAAACAGGAUUAGAUACCCCGGUAGUCCACGCCCUAAACGAUGUCAACUAGUUGUUGGGGAUUCAUUUCCUUAGUAACGUAGCUAACGCGUGAAGUUGACCGCCUGGGGAGUACGGUCGCAAGAUUAAAAGCUUAAAGUGAUUUGACGGGGGCU
Molecule: ribosomal RNA, 576 nt
Filed under: uncultured bacterium
Lineage: Bacteria
Description: partial 16S ribosomal RNA
Rfam family: Bacterial small subunit ribosomal RNA
Source: RNAcentral